This 327-nucleotide ribosomal RNA is filed under the name uncultured eukaryote. RNAcentral describes it as "partial 18S ribosomal RNA". It matches the Rfam family "Eukaryotic small subunit ribosomal RNA", at positions 1470 to 1796 of the family's 1831-position model. The record is from RNAcentral.
CCCUUAGAUGUUCUGGGCCGCACGCGCGCUACACUGAACAGUUCAACAAGUCUUAACCUUGGCCGAUAGGUCUGGGUAAUCUUUGAACGCUGUUCGUGAUUGGGAUAGACCUUUGCAAUUAUGGGUCUUCAACGAGGAAUGCCUAGUAAGCGCAAGUCAUCAGCUUGCGUUGAUUACGUCCCUGCCCUUUGUACACACCGCCCGUCGCUCCUACCGAUUGAAUGGUCCGGUGAAGCGUUCGGACCGUGGCCUUUGGACGGUUCGCCGUCUGUUGGCUGCGGGAAGUUCGUUAAACCUUAUCAUUUAGAGGAAGGAGAAGUCGUAACA